CGAUAGUUGCUCGAGUGGUUGAAGAGGUCAGUCUCGAAAACUGAAAAUGGCGCAAGUCAUUCAAGGGUUCAAAUCCCUUACUAUCGGCCA
Molecule: transfer RNA, 90 nt
Filed under: Mycoplasmopsis caviae
Lineage: Bacteria; Bacillati; Mycoplasmatota; Mycoplasmoidales; Metamycoplasmataceae
Description: tRNA-Ser
Rfam family: tRNA
About the family: Transfer RNA (tRNA) molecules are approximately 80 nucleotides in length. Their secondary structure includes four short double-helical elements and three loops (D, anti-codon, and T loops).
Source: RNAcentral